Molecule: ribosomal RNA, 294 nt
Filed under: uncultured eukaryote
Lineage: Eukaryota
Description: partial small subunit ribosomal RNA
Rfam family: Eukaryotic small subunit ribosomal RNA
Source: RNAcentral
AGCUCCAAUAGCGUAUCUUAAAGUUGCUGCAGUUAAAAAGCUCGUAGUUGGAUCUCGGGAUCGAGCUGACGGUCCGCCGCGAGGCGAGCUACCGUCUGUCCCAGCCCCUGCCUCUCGGCGCCCCCUCGAUGCUCUUAGCUGAGUGUCCCGCGGGGUCCGGUGGGUUUUCUUCUCUGAACUGGGGCCAUGAUUAAGAGGGACGGCCGGGGGCAUUCGUAUUGUGCCGCUAGAGGUGAAAUUCUUGGACCGGCGCAAGACGGACGAAAGCGAAAGCAUUUGCCAAGAAUGUUUUCA